CUAGCGACUUCAGAGUUUGAUCCUGGCUCAGGAUGAACGCUAGCGGCAGGCUUAACACAUGCAAGUCGAGGGGCAGCGCGAUGAAGUAGCAAUACUGAUUUCCGGCGGCGACCGGCGCACGGGUGCGUAACGCGUAUGUAACCUACCUAUAACAGGGGGAUAACACUGAGAAAUUGGUACUAAUACCCCAUAACACUUUAGAGGGCAUCCUUUAGAGUUGAAAGUUCCGGCGGUUAUAGAUGGACAUGCGUUGUAUUAGCUAGAUGGUGAGGUAACGGCUCACCAUGGCGACGAUACAUAGGGGGACUGAGAGGUUAACCCCCCACACUGGUACUGAGACACGGACCAG
This 349-nucleotide ribosomal RNA is filed under the name uncultured bacterium. RNAcentral describes it as "bacterial SSU rRNA". It matches the Rfam family "Bacterial small subunit ribosomal RNA", at positions 1 to 334 of the family's 1533-position model. The record is from RNAcentral.